RNAcentral lists this long non-coding RNA (3378 nucleotides) under Malus domestica (apple). RNAcentral describes it as "long non-coding RNA (MDOM_LNC006286)". Lineage: Eukaryota; Viridiplantae; Streptophyta; Magnoliopsida; Rosales; Rosaceae. The record is from RNAcentral.
UCAACUCUCGCAUAUCUCUCUUCCCGUGGACGCACUAGGACCGAGUCACCAUCGUAGAGAGGCUCGCAACGAGCCCAGGACCCCUCUGCCCGCAAGUUCGACGGCACGGAGCAAAGCUCCGGUGAACUCCCUCCCUCUUUUUCCGUUAGGUAAGUCGAAUAUCACCUUCUCGUUGUUAGAUUGUUGCUUGGUUGUGUUUUAGGAGCUUGAACCUUCCCUUUUUACGUAGGUUUUGCUUCGGAAAUCGUUGUGGGUGAGCACACCCGUUUUCCGGCGAACCGUGGACUUUGGAAGCUUUUUCCGGUCACCUCCGACCGAGUCACGGAUUUUAGAAGGCAGAAACCUCUUCCUUUCUCCCUGUUCUUCAUGGUUAUACUUAGAUCGGAGCCCAAAACCCAUUUUUUCCUGUGACCGGAGCUGUAGCAGCUCCGGCCUUCUUCUUCCUCAGCACCAGGCCAUCCGGCCUUCCCCUUUUCCCCCUCGGGCCUUAAGCCCGUUAGACCCCAGCCCAUUUCUUUUAUUUUUGUUAGUUUAUUUCAAAACCCCAAAAAAGGGCCUUGGGCCGGUGACAUUUAAAGGGGCUUAAAGCCCUGUUUGUUUUGUGAGGCCUUAAGGCUUUGUGCCCGUGUGUGUGUGUGUGUGUAUGUUUAGGCGUGUGUGUGUGUGUGUGUGUUUAUGCAUGCACAUGCAUGACGUGCAUGUGUGUAUGUUUGGGCUUAAGCCCAAACCCUAUUUCCUUCAUCCUAAAUCAUUUUUAACCCAAAAACCUUAGGUUCCUAAAACCUAUUAAAAUCCUAAACCCAUCCAAUCCCAAAUUCCCUAUUUUAUUUAAUUCAAACCCAAUCUUUUAGAAAAUCCUUUUUAUUUAUUUAUUACAUUUUUUUUGUGCUUAGGUAAAGUUGCUAUUAAGGAAAUUCGUAAUCCUGAUCCGUGCAAUUCUUCUGCUAAGAAAUAUUUGCGAGUGGACUCUUUCUAAAAUUACAUGAUUUUAUAAAUUAAUUGCAUAAAUGAUUAGCAUGCCUACGAAUUUAUGAAUUGAUUUAUGUUAAGCCUGUUUAUGGAAUUUAUUGAUUUCGUCUCGUGUUUUUUGUGAGGAAUUAAACGUUAGCCUAUUUUGAGCUAUAUUUUAAUAUAUCGUAUUUUCUAUAAAAAUCACGAUCUGGUAGACUAUCUGAUGGAUGACGUGCUAGAACGUGUUUUAGAAACCCUUCUUUAUAGUAUAGACGAUUGAUGACUUUAUACUAUGAAGUGGUUAUUUAUGAGAGACGUAACUAUUUGUGCGUACCUAGAGGACACUAUGUCGCCUGGGACGAGGAUCUGGUGUUGGCAUUUAGGCCGGGAGAAAUAAUCCCUAGCUACGGGCUGAGGGACAUGGAGCAUGUAUUGGGCCGGUAGUUGGUAAUCUCUGGCUACGGGCGCAGAGACCACGGAGCAGGCAUUGGCCCGGGAGUUAUAUUUAUUCGAUGAUCUUUCUAGCAGCACACCGCGUUUACGAGACGAUCUAUUAUACGUUUACUGUUUUGAUUUCCGCGAUGUUGUCCCGCGAUAUGACUUUUGGAGAUAUUUUUGGCAUGCUAGGAUUUUUAUUAAAUCCAUCACUUAUUAUGUUAGUAGUUUUCAUUAUAUAAACUAUGGGGGUUAGUACAUUAAUAAUUGUUUUAUUAUUAUUUUAUAUAUAUAUAUGAACUUGGUCCACUCACCUUUGUUUUGCGUCCUCAUUCAAGACUUAAGAUCAAGGCACCUAAUCCCGGCGUCAAAAUACUUCCGCAGCAGCAUCUUUGAAUCCUCUAGAUGUAGGACCCACUUCUUUAUUCAUUCAAUUUUAUCUUAAUUCUUUUAGUGAUUAGGUUUAGUUGUAUGUUCUGAACACGUUCCUAAAAUAUUAAUCCAUUGUAUUUUAAAUUUCUAACUCUUAUUUAUUUCUUAUUCUUAGCUUUUGUAUCAAUUAAUGGCUUUCGUCACCCUCAGGUGUCGGCCAGCACGUGUCUAUCCUGGUAUUCGGGAAAUAUCAGAGUUGGGGCGUGUCAUAUGACGACCUAAAUAAUAAAAGAGUUAAAUGUAUGUUCGGACAUGGGUGUAUGUACAAAGUGUGGCGGGUGAGGGUAAUAGUGGAAUGCGGGUGAGGGUAAUAGUGGAAUGCAUACAGAGUGUAUUAAGAUAAUUAAAAUUUAAAAAGUAAAUACGGAGAGUAUUAAGUAAGUGGAGUGUAGCCAACAAAAUGUAAGAUAUUAAUAAAACAACUUGUUAAUUGUAAGACUAAUUCGUCAAUGACUCAUCUUUCAAUCCACCCAUAAUAAUAAAAGUGUUAAAUGUAUGUUUGGACAUGGGUGUAGUUAUAUUACUUAGAGCGAAUGUGCUUUCUUUAUGUAUUUAAAUUCAAAUUACACAGUUUGAAUUGUAAUAUGCUUCAAAUUUUUGUUCAAGUUUUGUAUUCGUCUGUGUUUGUGCACACAUGAGGAGAAGAAGCUGGGAAUAGUUCGGUGUUUCUUCCAUUAAUCUUCCCGAUUUAUGUUGUUUUUCAAUAGAUUAUGGUUUCAAAGGUCAUCUAUUGCUAAAAGGUCUUUCUCUAAGUAGAAAUUUGAAAUACGCUCUGAUAAUUAAGAGGAAUGUACGAUUUUUAAACCUUUGUGGUUUAAGUUCACAUGUUUGAAUAGACUAACGUCAAAUUAGAUUAGUGAGAUUAAGAUUGUUAACACAAUAAAACAUAUCCAGUGUUCUAAAAAUCUCCGCCUAAAGCCACCUAGGCAUUAGGUGGCUGACCACCGCUACGAUUAAUCCUUAAGCAUUGAAAAAAAAUUAAGAAAAGGCGCUUAGACCUACUUAGGCACCAAGACCUGCCUAGGCGUCCGCCUAGGUCAAAGUCUCGCUUAAACAGAAAAUAGAUAACUUUCAUUUUGCGUUUUAUUUUAUUCAAUAAAUUGUUAAAAAGUUGUUGGAUACUUGGAUGAACACUCAUUAUAUGUUUGUUCCCAUGUUUUCAAUAUAUUCUAGUACUUUAUAAUUUAUAUGUCAUUGGAUUGCGAAAAUGUCAUCUACAUCUAUUGCGAAGAGGUCUUUCUCUAAGUAGAAAUGUGAAAUACGCUCCGAUAAUUUAGAGGAAUGUACGAUUUUUAAACCUGUGUGGUUUAUGUUCACACGUCUGACUAGACGAAUGUCAAAUUAGAUUAGUUAGAUUAAGAUUGUUAACACGAUAAAACAUAUCUAGUGUUCUAACAGUCUCCGCCUAAAGCCGCCUAGGCGUUAGGCAGCUGGCCACCGUUACCAUUAAUCCCUAAGCGUUUAAAAAAUAAGAAAAGACGCUUAGACCUACUUAGGCACCUAAACCUGUCUAGGCAUCCGCCUAGGUUAGAGUACUCUCACUUAGACAGAAAAUAGAUA